This 497-nucleotide ribosomal RNA is filed under the name uncultured bacterium. Its description in RNAcentral is "partial 16S ribosomal RNA". It matches the Rfam family "Bacterial small subunit ribosomal RNA", at positions 28 to 507 of the family's 1533-position model. The record is from RNAcentral.
GAUGAACGCUGGCGGCGUGCCUAAUACAUGCAAGUCGAGCGAACGGACGAGAAGCUUGCUUCUCUGAUGUUAGCGGCUGACGGGUGAGUAACACGUGGAUAACCUACCUAUAAGUCUGGGAUAACUUCGGGAAACCGGAGCUAAUACCGGAUAAUAUUUUGAACCGCAUGGUUCAAAAGUGAAAGACGGUCUUGCUGUCUCUUAUAGAUGGUUCCGCGCUGCAUUAGCUAGUUGGUAAGGUAACGGCUUACCAAGGCAACGAUGCAUAGCCGACCUGAGAGGGUGAUCGGCCACACUGGAACUGAGACACGGUCCAGACUCCUACGGGAGGCAGCAGUAGGGAAUAUUGCGCAAUGGGCGAAAGCCUGACGGAGCAACGCCGCGUGAGUGAUGAAGGUCUUCGGAUCGUAAAACUCUGUUAUUAGGGAAGAAAAUAUGUGUAAGUAACUGUGCACAUCUUGACGGUACCUAAACAGAAAGCCACGGCUAACUACGUG